Molecule: long non-coding RNA, 919 nt
Organism: Oncorhynchus tshawytscha (Chinook salmon)
Lineage: Eukaryota; Metazoa; Chordata; Actinopteri; Salmoniformes; Salmonidae
Source: Ensembl
CUAUGAUCCUCCUCUCUACCAUUCUCCAGUAGUCUAUGAUCCCCCUCUCUACCGUUCUCCAGUAGUUUAUGGUUCUCCUCUCUACCAUUCUCCAGUAGUCUGUGGUUCUCCUCUCUACCGUUCUCCAGUAGUCUGUGAUCCUCCUCUCUACCAUUCUCCAGUAGUCUGUGAUCCUCCUCUCUACCAUUCUCCAGUAGUCUAUGAUCCUCCUCUCUACCAUUCUCCAGUAGUCUAUGAUCCUCCUCUCUACCAUUCUCCAGUAGUUUAUGGUUCUCCUCUCUACCAUUCUCCAGUAGUCUGUGGUUCUCCUCUCUACCGUUCUCCAGUAGUCUAUGAUCCUCCUCUCUACCGUUCUCCAGUAGUUUAUGGUUCUCCUCUCUACCAUUCUCCAGUAUAGUCUAUGAUCCUCCUCUCUACCGUUCUCCAGUAGUUUAUGGUUCUCCUCUCUACCAUUCUCCAGUAGUCUGUGGUUCUCCUCUCUACCGUUCUCCAGUAGUCUAUGAUCCUCCUCUCUACCGUUCUCCAGUAGUCUAUGAUCCUCCUCUCUACCGUUCUCCAGUAGUCUAUGAUCCUCCUCUCUACUGUUCUCCAGUAGUCUGUGAUCCUCCUCUCUACUGUUCUCCAGUAGUCUGUGAUCCUCCUCUCUACCGUUCUCCAGUAGUCUAUGAUCCUCCUCUAUACCGUUCUCCAGUAGUCUAUGAUCCUCCUCUCUACCAUUCUCCAGUAGUCUGUGAUCCUCCUCUCUACCGUUCUCCAGUAGUCUGUGAUCCUCCUCUCUACCGUUCUCCAGUAGUCUGUGAUCCUCCUCUCUACCGUUCUCCAGUAGUCUAUGAUCCUCCUCUCUACCGUUCUCCAGUAGUCUAUGAUCCUCCUCUCUACCAUUCUCCAGUAGUCUAUGAUCCUCCUCUCUACCAUUCUC